CCUACGGGAGGCUGCAGUGGGGAAUAUUGCACAAUGGGGGAAACCCUGAUGCAGCGACGCCGCGUGAGUGAAGAAGGUUUUCGGAAUGUAAAGCUCUAUCAGAAGGGAAGAUAAUGACGGUACCUGACUAAGAAGCACCGGCUAACUACGUGCCAGCAGCCGCGGUAAUACGUAGGGGGCAAGCGUUAUCCGGAUUUACUGGGUGUAAAGGGUGCGUAGGUGGGUGGGCAAGUCAGAUGUGAAAGGCCGGGGCUCAACCCCGGGAUUGCAUUUGACACUGUCCAGCUGGAGUGCAGGAGAGGAAAGCGGAAUUCCAAGUGUAGCGGUGAAAUGCGUAGAUAUUAGGAGGAACACCAGUGGCGAAGGCGGCUUACUGGACUGUAACUGACGCUGAGGCACGAAAGCGUGGGGAGCAAACAGGAUUAGAUACCCGGGUAGUC
Molecule: ribosomal RNA, 440 nt
Filed under: uncultured bacterium
Lineage: Bacteria
Description: partial 16S ribosomal RNA
Rfam family: Bacterial small subunit ribosomal RNA
Source: RNAcentral